Molecule: ribosomal RNA, 529 nt
Filed under: uncultured bacterium
Lineage: Bacteria
Description: bacterial SSU rRNA
Rfam family: Bacterial small subunit ribosomal RNA
Source: RNAcentral
AAUAGAUACCCGGGUAGUCCACGCCGUAAACGAUGAGUGCUAAGUGUUAGAGGGUUUCCGCCCUUUAGUGCUGCAGCUAACGCAUUAAGCACUCCGCCUGGGGAGUACGGCCGCAAGGCUGAAACUCAAAGGAAUUGACGGGGGCCCGCACAAGCGGUGGAGCAUGUGGUUUAAUUCGAAGCAACGCGAAGAACCUUACCAGGUCUUGACAUCCUCUGCCGACCCUAGAGAUAGGGCGUUCCCCUUCGGGGGACAGAGUGACAGGUGGUGCAUGGUUGUCGUCAGCUCGUGUCGUGAGAUGUUGGGUUAAGUCCCGCAACGAGCGCAACCCUUGAUCUUAGUUGCCAGCAUUCAGUUGGGCACUCUAAGGUGACUGCCGGUGACAAACCGGAGGAAGGUGGGGAUGACGUCAAAUCAUCAUGCCCCUUAUGACCUGGGCUACACACGUGCUACAAUGGAUGGUACAAAGAGCAGCGAACCCGCGAGGGUAAGCCAAUCUCAUAAAGCCAUUCUCAGUUCGGAUUGUAGG